RNAcentral lists this long non-coding RNA (239 nucleotides) under Prunus dulcis (almond). Its description in RNAcentral is "sRNA ncRNA". Lineage: Eukaryota; Viridiplantae; Streptophyta; Magnoliopsida; Rosales; Rosaceae. The record is from RNAcentral.
UAUUGAAAAAUAUCUAUCUUUUACAUCACUCAAGAUAAGAUCAAUGGUUUCUUUGGCACAAGAAUUGACAAGAUCUUUUUGAAUUGAAGGAGCUAUUAACUUUAAAUUUUCCGGAGCAUUUUCCAACACAACGGCCUUAACUUUUUCAUCAUGAUCCGCAAGAAAUUGCAAGAGCUCUAAAUAAUUCCCUUUAUUACUUGAUUGUGCACUUUCAUCAUGACCAAGAAAAGAAAGCCCUU